CGCACCUUGCACCCUUUGGUAUUCCGAAGGGUAUGCCUGUUUGAGUGUCAUUAAAUUCUCAACUUCAAAGGUUACUUGUUAACUUUUUUGAAGCUUGGACUUUGGAGGUUAUUGCAGGCAUAACUAAAAUGUCAGCUCCUCUUAAAUGCAUUAGCAGAACUUCAAAGAAAUCGGCUUACUGGUUUGAUAAUACAUAUCUAUGCCAUUACCGUGGACUUUCAUUUGUUCAGCUUCUAAUGGUCUUUGGACUGUCUCUUAUGAGGCAUACACUUUAAGCUUGACCUCAAAUCAGGUAGGACUACCCGCUGAACUUAA
RNAcentral lists this ribosomal RNA (315 nucleotides) under uncultured Clavulinaceae. Its description in RNAcentral is "eukaryotic LSU rRNA". Lineage: Eukaryota; Fungi; Basidiomycota; Agaricomycetes; Cantharellales; Hydnaceae. The record is from RNAcentral.